GAGAACAUACAGCACUCCCAUGAGUCAGGGAAGAGGGAGAGCUGGGUUUCAAGGUUUCCAAGAAUGCAAGCCUUUAUUGUGUGUGCACCGGCUGCAAUGCAUUCUGGGAUCUACUGUCCAGACUGUCCCACCAUAACCAAAAUGUGCAAAUUACUAAAGGGGAGAGGGAGGUUAAAAAAUAAACUUGUGUCUUCGUAAGACAGAACUGUCAGGCUUUUUGGUCAGUUAGUAGCCAGUGAGGUAUGCAAUUCUUUUCUGCAACUGCUGCUGCCGGCAUCGGAGCUGUCUUUUCUCUGUAGCCAUCCUCUUCUCAGCCCCCACCAGGGCUUGCAAGUAUUCCAAGGCCUUGCUUAGGAUCACUACUUUGGGGGCCUUGGAGCAGCUGGCCAGGGUGGGCACCUGGUCCCUCAGCGCCAAGAAUCGCGAACGCAGGUCAUUCCGCCUCUUGCGCUCCAGGAAGUUGUGAUUCUUCCUCUUGGUCACAUCCUCAGUAUCAGAACUGACAGGUUUGGGGUGGCAGGACUGGGCAGCCUCACUUUCUACAGGUGGGGGACUCACAAUCUCUUCAUCCUCCUCAUCUUCCUUUUCCCCUGCAGCAUCUCUCUCCAGAACCUCUUCUUGGGGACCCCUCUCUGAAGCCUCUUCUUGGGAGCAGCUUUCUGGAGGAAAACGGGCAGCAUAGUUGUGCUGUUGCUGAUGGAUGGAGAUGUGGAAAUGCUUCAUGCAGGGAUCCAGGGGGUCUGCUCGCACCGUGAUGGUGACCGGCUUCCGAAUACCCAGAGACUGCCUCUUCUCUACUGUCACAACAUCAAUUUCUUCAUUCUCUGUCCGAGAAAAGAGAUCAAGAGAAGAAACACAUCCCAUGAGAAACACAAACAUAGACCCUACAGCUUUAGCUGUCUACGCUGGUGCUUGGGAAGGUCGCCUGCCCCACCUCCUUCCCUGGACUAGAAGGUUAGAUUUGUAAUCAUAGGUCGGCGAAGCUGCAGGAACUUCACAAAGGUACAAGCGACCAUUUCCAAACUACCUGCACCAGAGGCAGAGACUGGGCAGCAGAAUGUCCCAGAUAUGGGGCUCAUAACACCAGAGACCUGGAGACACCUGGACACGCCC
Molecule: long non-coding RNA, 1113 nt
Filed under: Homo sapiens (human)
Lineage: Eukaryota; Metazoa; Chordata; Mammalia; Primates; Hominidae
Description: long non-coding RNA NONHSAT002611.2
Source: RNAcentral